Molecule: ribosomal RNA, 501 nt
Filed under: uncultured bacterium
Lineage: Bacteria
Description: bacterial SSU rRNA
Rfam family: Bacterial small subunit ribosomal RNA
Source: RNAcentral
CAGACUGGAGGAUAGCCCCUGGAAACGGGGAUUACUACUCCAUAGUAUCACGAAUUCGCAUGUUUUUGUGAUUAAAGUUUUUCGGUAUGAGAUGGGCAUGCGUCCCAUUAGCUUGUUGGUGAGGUAACGGCUCACCAAGGCAACGAUGGGUAGGGGGCCUGAGAGGGUGGUCCCCCACACUGGUACUGAGACACGGACCAAACUCCUACGGGAGGCAGCAGUGAGGAAUAUUGGUCAAUGGAGGCAACUCUGAACCAGCCAUGCCGCGUGAAGGAUGACGGCCCUAUGGGUUGUAAACUUCUUUUAUAGAGGAAGAAACUUGUCUACGUGUAGACAACUGACGGUACUCUACGAAUAAGGAUCGGCUAACUCCGUGCCAACAGCCGCGGUAAUACGGAGGAUCCAAGCGUUAUCCGGAUUCAUUGGGUUUAAAGGGUCCGUAUGCGGGUCUUUAACUCAUUGGUGAAAGCCGACAGCUCAACUGUCGAACUGCCAUUGAUA